AGGAUGGUGAGGGAAUGGUUUGGGGGAGAGGUUACUGUGAGGGAAUGGUUUGGGGGAGGGGUUACUGUGAGGGAAUGGUUUGGGGGAGGGGUUACUGUGAGGGGAUGGUUUGGGGGAGGGGUUACUGUGAGGGAAUGGUUUGGGGGAGGGGUUACUGUGAGGGAAUGGUUUGGGGGAGGGGUUACUCUGAGGGAAUGGCUUGGGGAGGGGUUACUGUGAGGGAAUGGUUUUAGAGGGGUUACUGUGAGGGAAAUGGUUUGGGAGAGGUUACUGUGAGGGAAUGGUUUGGGGGAGGGGUUACUGUGAGGGAAUGGUUUGGGGGAGGGGUUACUGUGAGGGGAUGGUUUGGGGGAGGGGUUACUGUGAGGGAAUGGUUUGGGGGAGGGGUUACUGUGAGGGAAUGGUUUGGGGGAG
Molecule: long non-coding RNA, 414 nt
Filed under: Pelobates cultripes (western spadefoot toad)
Lineage: Eukaryota; Metazoa; Chordata; Amphibia; Anura; Pelobatidae
Source: RNAcentral